RNAcentral lists this ribosomal RNA (485 nucleotides) under uncultured bacterium. Its description in RNAcentral is "partial 16S ribosomal RNA". It matches the Rfam family "Bacterial small subunit ribosomal RNA", at positions 30 to 507 of the family's 1533-position model. The record is from RNAcentral.
UUGAACGCUGGCGGCAUGCCUUACACAUGCAAGUCGAACGGCAGCACGGGUGCUUGCCCCUGGUGGCGAGUGGCGAACGGGUGAGUAAUACAUCGGAACAUGUCCUGUAGUGGGGGAUAGCCCGGCGAAAGCCGGAUUAAUACCGCAUACGAUCUACGGAUGAAAGCGGGGGACCUUCGGGCCUCGCGCUAUAGGGUUGGCCGAUAGCUGAUUAGCUAGUUGGUGGGGUAAAGGCCUACCAAGGCGACGAUCAGUAGCUGGUCUGAGAGGACGACCAGCCACACUGGGACUGAGACACGGCCCAGACUCCUACGGGAGGCAGCAGUGGGGAAUUUUGGACAAUGGGCGAAAGCCUGAUCCAGCAAUGCCGCGUGUGUGAAGAAGGCCUUCGGGUUGUAAAGCACUUUUGUCCGGAAAGAAAUCCUUGGCUCUAAUACAGUCGGGGGAUGACGGUACCGGAAGAAUAAGCACCGGCUAACUACGUG